Molecule: long non-coding RNA, 44102 nt
Filed under: Vitis vinifera (wine grape)
Lineage: Eukaryota; Viridiplantae; Streptophyta; Magnoliopsida; Vitales; Vitaceae
Description: long non-coding RNA (VVIN_LNC004884)
Source: RNAcentral
GUAUGCAGGAUUUCCUGGUGACCUCAUUGCCACCGUCACAUAUAUGCUUGUUGGUGAUUAUCAAUUGAUUGUAACCAUGAAAGCCAAAGCUCUAAACAAGGCCACCCCAGUAAACCUCGCUCAGCAUGCCUAUUGGAACCUGGGUGGUCACACCUCUGGCGAUAUCCUGUCCAACGAAAUCCAGAUCUUCGGUUCUCACAUCACUCCAGUUGAUAAAGAGCUCAUCCCCACAGGCAAAAUUGUCCCUGUGAAGGGAACACCAUAUGAUUUCCUCAAACCCUGCACCAUUGGAAGCAAAAUCAACAAGCUCCCUAGUGGCUUUAAUAUUAACUAUGUGCUGGAUGAUACUGCCCCCAACAAGGUGGGGUUGGCGGCCAUGGUGCACCAUAAGAAGUCUGGAAGAAUGUUGGAGCUCUACACCAAUGCACCAGGGCUGCAAUUUUACACUUCUAAUUUUUUGAAGGACGAGAAGGGGAAGGGUGGAUUUGUUUAUCAAGCCCAUGCGGCCCUGUGUUUGGAGACUGAAGGGUUCCCUGACUCGGUGAAUCAUCCUAAUUUUCCUUCACAGAUUGUGACUCCUGGAAAGUCUUACCAUCAUUCUAUGUUGUUCAAGUUUUCAAUCAGGGCCUGAUCUUUUUCAAUUGUAGUGUAAAACCAUUAACAAGAAGAAGAGAGAAUGUUCUACCUUCAUAACUGUCCUGGUGAGUACCCUCCAAAGCAGGUUGCAGAAUAAUGUAACUUGGGUUGUUUCAAUGUAUGCAAACUUUGGCCCAAGAAAUCAUGAAUAAUUGAGCAGUGGACACACAUCUUGAUUCCUGUCAUUGUUUUUGUAGUUAUUUUGUUUUUACUGGAUAACAAGGAACUUGAGUUAUGUUGGAUGAUGUCAACAUGUUAUUUUUAGUUAAAAAGUGAAACCACCCUGGGAUAGGACAGCCCAAUGAAGCUUAAACUGGAGGACUGGGAUCUUCAUCAGGCUCAAUUGAAGUCUGAAGAAAUCGAAACUGCUGCAUAUUAAGGGCCUGUUUGACAGAAUUUUAAAAAUAAUUAGAAAAGAAAAAUGAAAAACAUUGUUCAAUGACUUUCAGGAACAAAAUUUUAUUUAGAUACUUAAAUAUAAAAUAGUUUUUUUAGGUUAUUCACCAUGAAACAGUAUUACACUUAUGUGUAAAGGUUUUGAAAAUAUCUUUUUAUCUUUCCCAGCAAAAAAAAAAAAAAAAAAAAAAAAAAAAUCCAUUGAGAAGGUUUUUUAUCUUCUCACAUCUGCUGCAAUGCAGGGGUGAGAUGGAAAAGCCAUUAUAGUUGGAAGGCGGCAAUGGAUUUUGUAGUUGGGGUUUUUUUUGUUUGGAUUCUUCAACUGAAUUCAAUGAGUCCAACAAAUGGCAACUGAAUGCAGCCUAUAUGAAUAAAAAACAAAGAAACCAAACAAACACAUGGAUUUCACAACUGUUAAAGAGAAACAGACUUGAAAUACUCUGAAUUAAAACUUUUGUGACCGAGUCUGCACAAUGUGCACAUCCCUAUAUAUAUAAGUCUGUAGGGUUUGCACAGAAGCUAGGACUGAAUUAAAGAUGGCAUCCUUCAUACCUACAGCAGGAGUAGUGGUAUGGGUAGUUAUCAUGAUAUUAUUCUCCCUUGCCAAUGCAGUAUCAUCACCAUCAUCAACUGAUGAGGGAGAGGCUCUGCGCAGCACCGGCUGGUGGAAUUCUACUUCUGCUCAUUUCACCUGGGAUGGUGUAGUUUGUAAUGAGCGCGGAAGCGUGACCGAAAUACACCUUUCCUAUUCAGGAAAAAAAUCAGGUGAGCUUAGCAAAUUGAAGUUUUCUUCAUUUCCCAGCCUGGUUGGGCUCUUCCUUGCUAACUGUGGACUCAAUGGUAGCAUCCCACACCAAAUAGGUACUCUUACUCAACUCACCUAUUUUAUUCUCCCUCAAAACAAUCUUAUAGGUGAGCUACCUCUUUCCUUGGCUAACCUCACUCAGUUGAAGUACCUCUUCCUUCAUUCUAAUUGACUACAUGGUUCGAUUCCUCCUGAAAUUUGGAAAAUGAAGAAUCUAAAUAUUUUGUAUUUGCAUUACAACAACCUUGCUAGUGUCAUUGUUGGUCUAAGAUUAAACACUUAUGCAAAAUAUAUAUUUUUGGACUGCUUGAACACAUUUUAUUGAUGAAGAGUGCUGAAUUUAUACAUGAGCUUGUAAUUGAAAUGACAUUAGAAUAGCAGAAAAUCAAGCUACUAGAUGAUGAACAACUGCUUCCUAUAAAAUAGAAACCAAAUCUUGACUAAAUAAAAAUAAGAAAAUAUUUGGAUGUUGCAAAUUUUGUGCAAGACUCCGGUUGCAAUAUUUAACUUCAAAAUUCAAAUUCCUACAGAUACUAAGUCAAAAUUCAACACUCCUCCUUGACUUCGUAGAUGCAAACUCCAAGUCUUGCACGUAGAAACUCAAAACAAACUUUGAAAGGGGUCUGCUUCUUUAAAGCUUUUGUUGGCAAUCUGUUCAGAAAAUAUACUGUUGUACUUGCAGUUUUAGCCCAAAAUUUUUUAGGUAGAUCUUUUUCAUGCGGAAGACAUCUUGUCAUCUCCAAAAUCGUUCUAUUUUUCCUCUCCAAGACUUCAUUUUGUUGUGGAUUAUAUGGUGCAGUGAGCUAAUGAACAUUGCCUGCAUUCCCUUUCAAGGAUGGCGUCUUUUGAGGUCCACCAACAUCAGUAUGCACUAAAAGCAGUUUUUGGGUUGCUCUCCAGGAUGUUUUCUUUGGAAAGGGAAGUUUAGUUUGCUUCCCAUAUUGACAAGUAGCACAUAUAGGAAGAUCUUUUUCUAAGUCAGGAAGUCCUUCAACUAUAUGUAGAGCACAACAUCAUGAUGAAAGUGCCCGAGCCUUCUGUGCUAAAACAUUGUUGUGCUAUCUUGUUGUAAAACAGCAGCAUGCUCAUCUUCCAGUAAAUUCAAGGCAAAACUCUUGCCCUUCAUUUUUAUGUUGAACACUUCUUUGCCUUCAGCAUCCUUGAUAAUGCAAUUCCUAUCUUCAAAAUAAACUUUAAAUUCUUUCUCAACGAGCUUUCCAACAUUGAGUAAGUUUUGGUCAAUGUCAGGCACAAACAAAACAUCAUAAAUGAGUUUCAAACCUGUUUGGCUUUCGAUAGCAACUGUUCCUUUGCCCUUCACUGGAAUAUACUCACCAUUUCCAAUUCUGACUUUGGAAAUAGCUGUUCUAUCAAGUUCUCUAAAGAGAUCUUGAUUAUUUGUCAUGUGGUUUGUACAACCACUAUCCACAAGCCAGCUUUCAGAGGUACUUUUAUUAGCAAAACACGUUGCUGCAAACAAUUGCUCCUCCUGGCAAUAGUCAAUUGUUGUACUAGUUUCUUCCUACUGUUGAUUUUUUCAAAUCUUCUCCACAUGUCCUUGUUUACCACACUUGUUGCAUUUCACAUAUGGUCUCCACCAACAUUUUUGUGGAGAAUGAUUUGUCUUCUUGCAAUGAGGACAAGGUGGAAAAACUCCAUUUUUCUGGUUGUUGCUGCAUGGCUUGCUAUUGUUCAUCUUUCCAUUUUUAUGGCCUGCAUUUUUCUGCAUUCUUGUUUGAAAUGCUCCUUCUACAGUAUCUCCUUGUCUCAUGAGUCUCUUUUGUUCCACAGCCUCCAAGGAAUGUAAUCUGUCAAGCUACUAGUUGACAUAUCCUUUGAAUUCUCCAAAGAGGAAAUUGUAGCUUCAUAUUUCUCAGGAAGUGUAACCAAUAUCUUUUGAACAAUCUUCUCAUUGGAAAACUCUUUUCCAAGCAACCUAACUUUGUCUGCUAUUGAAAGAAGUUGUGCAACAUAGUCUUUAACAACAUCAGACUCCCUCAUUUUCUUCAUUUCAAAUUCUCAAAUCAAGUUCAUCACCUGCAUGUUCUUGAUUCUUUCAUCUCCUUUGUAUUCCUCCUUGAGAUACUCCCAAAUUUCUACAGCUGAAUCAAUUUUCAUGAUUUUGAUGAAAAUUGAUGGUGAAACUGCAACAAACAAGCAAGCUUUCGCUUUAGCCUUUCUUGUCUUUCUUUCUUUAUGCAACUUCAUUUGAGCCACAGUUGGAUUGGCUCCCAGGGGAGGAACUUCAUAAUUUUCUUCCACUGCUUCCCAAACAUCAAAUGCUUGUAGAUGAACUGUCAUUCUAACAACCCAAGUUUCAUAAUUGUCUCCAUCAAGAAUUGAUGGUGCAGUUGUGAGACUUGACUCCUCCAUUGCUAGAUGAUUUUAGAAGGUGUUUGGGUUCACUCGUGGUGUUUUGGGUUCACUCACUUCACGGGUCUUUAGGUGUUUAGGCACUCUCAAGGUAUUUAGGCUCACUCAACUCAUUGGCCCCUCAAGAUAACUAUGGAUUUGAUACCAUAAUGUUGGUCUAAGAUUAAACACUUAUGCAGAAUAUAUAUUUUUGGGCUGCUGGAACACAUUUUAUUGAUGAAGAGUCCUGAAUUUAUACAUGAGCUUGUAACUGAAAUGACAUUAGAAUAACAGAAAAUCAAGCUACUAGAUGAUGAACAACUACUUCCUAUAAAAUAGAAACCAAAUCUUGACCAAAUAAAAACAAGAAAAUAUUUGGAUGUUGCAGAUUUUGUGCAAGACUUCAGUUGCAAUAUUUAACUUCAAAAUUCAAAUUGCAAUAGAUAUUAAGUCAAAAUUCAACGGUCAAAAUUUUCAUCUUUUGGUAUCUUACCAAUCCAACUUAUCUUAUUCUUAGAGGUAAUCAAAUAAGUGGUUUUAUCCCUAAUGAAAUUGGGGAAAUAAAGAAUUUAGUGUCAUUAUCUUUCAUAUGAUGGACUACAUGGUCCAAUUCUUUCUGAAAUUGGGAAAAUGAAUAAUUUUAAUAUUUUGAAUUUAGGUUAUAAGAAUCUUACUGGUGUCAUCCCUUUUUCUUUUGGUAAUCUUACCCAUAUGACUUCUCUUAUUCUUAGAUGGCACCAUUAGCAAUGGUCACUGGACCAUUGGAGGUGGCAUUGCUAGGAUUAGCCGUGGACCAUAGGAUUUUGCCAGUACCGGCCUCCAUUGCCACCCAUCCACCAGCAGUUGUGUUUUUCUCAGAUGGUUUGAGGGUGAAGUUCUUACUGUCGCUAUUGACAAUGUUGGUGUAUACCUUAAUGCCGUCAGUGGCUGCCCCCCAGGUGCCUCCUCCAGAAAGGCCACCAGGUCCGGCUUCCUGCAUCAUAACCUUUUGGUUAGCCCAAGUUCAUGCGACCCUGCCUUCUACAUAACACCUUAAAAUUGGCAUACUUUGAACCACCACAAUUUUGAAUCCUUUGGUAUUUGCUUAAGGUCAUACUUGACCCAAAAGUUUUAAGCUCCACUACCAUGUUAAGCUAUCAAUUAACUCAAAAGCUUAAACAAAAAGCUCUAAUAGAAACAAUGUGUAUUGAUUACUACUCAAAAAGUGCUAUUUGAUAGCUUGUAAUUAACUCUUUUAAACACUUUUGAGUAGUAGUUAUUGCCUUUUAACCCAAUUAACAUGUUAAGGACCCUUGCAAUCAAUUCUAAUCAAAUUGUGUUAAGUUUUGGUGUUUUUGUUAGUAAUUUGAUCACCAAAACAAUCCAAGAAUGAGGGAGAAUUGUAUAUAGUUCAUGGCAAAGCUUUUGGAAGCUCAAAUUCAUGAAGAACCAAGCUUUGGAGCUCCAUAGCCCUUUGCCAAAGUCGUUCAAAGUAUGCAAGGAGAGAAGCAAGGAGAAGAGGAAAACAGAGUGAAGAAAACAGAGGACAAGCAGCUGCAGUCUUCAUGCGCACUUUUGGAGCACUUCCCGAAGUCCAUUUUCUACAUUCUAUAUACCAUUUCAAAGCUCAGGAAGUCAAGAAUCUAAUGCUUCAAACGGUGCGUGAUUCGGAGUUGAAACGAAGGAGUUACAGCCAUUGCAAGCAGAUCACUCCAAAGUGUUGCGAAAUCAGCCUUUUGUUGCGAGAAUUUCGCAGCCUUUUUGUACAGUGCUAUGGAAUUCCUCCUGAAGCUACCCGAUACAUGCCGCAAGCUGGAACUCUGAGAACCUCAAGUGGAAGCCAAUUUCGCAGCCCUGCGAGUUUAACUUGUUGUUGCGAAAAUAUUUCGCAGCCCUCUUGNNNNNNNNNNNNNNNNNNNNNNNNNNNNNNNNNNNNNNNNNNNNNNNNNNNNNNNNNNNNNNNNNNNNNNNNNNNNNNNNNNNNNNNNNNNNNNNNNNNNAGUGCUAGGUGAUAGGUAUGAGCCAUUGCAAGAUGCAUCAGUGAGAGGGAUUUAAUGUUUGAACCCAUUAAUGGGAAGCAUCUGUACAACACCGGUUAGAGAAUUGACUAUAUGUUAAUUCUCUAAUGCGAGGAAAAUAAACAAGUGACCGGAACUCCCUUUUUGUAUGAGGAACCUGAGCCUAGUGAUCUAAACUCCAAGAAACACUUUUCUUUGUAGUUAAAAUCAGUUACUAUUUUUAGUUAGCUUAAAACCAAACCUUUUUCAUUUAAACAUCUUUAUGUUUUCUUUUAAAGCUAACCUUGAAAUGAAAAGGCACCAAUUCAUCUUUGAAUUAAUAUCAAUUGUGAAGUGAAAACCCAUCCCAGUGAACGAUCCUAGAGCCACUAUGCUAUAGUAGUUUUGUCUUUGCUACCCUAGUUCAUGGUGUAAUAGGUUAUAAAUUUUGUUGAUUACUCCCUCAAUCAAAGAGCACCAGCUGGACACGAAUCAGCUGAGACACCAAGUGGGCACGAAUCAAAUGGCGCCGCUGCCGGGGAUCGAACCUCGAAUCAAAUGGUGUCAUUGCCACUGCCGCUGCUAGGGACGAAUCAAAUGGCGCCGUUGCCGGGGAUGGUGCCACUUUACAGUGAUAUCACCUUUUUAGAGUACUUGUGAUCUUCAUCACAAGUUUGGUGACUUUUCUUUUCCUUUAACUAACUCUUUUUAUUUCUUUAUUGUUCAUAUUUUAGUAUACCUUUUAUCUAGUUUUUAGUUUACCUUAAUUUUCUUUCUUUGAAUUGUUUUUCUUUUGUUUUCUUUUGUGUUCUCUGUUUUUAAUUCACAAAUUGCUAGUUGUGCAUGCCAUAUUGAAUACCAUAACAGAGGAAGCCAUGAACUUCAUGAGUUAUGUGGCUGAAGUCUCAAGAGAAUGGGAUGAACCAAAUGCUAGAGAUAAGGGAAGAAUGACGUCUCAACCUAAAGCUAAGGGUGAGAUGUAUAUUUUGAAUGAUGGUAUGAACAUGAAGGCAGAAAUUGCAGCUAUGGAAAGGAGAUUGGAAGAGCUAGAAAUGACAAAUAUGCAACCAGUGCAAGCCAUCUCUCAAACACCAUUGCAAGCUAUGCCUUGUGCCAUUUGUCUAUCUUAUGAGCACUUAGUGGAUGAGUGUCCUACCAUUCCAUCCGAGAGGGAAAUGUUUGGUGAUUGCAACACCUACAAUUCCAAUUGGAGGGACCAUCCAAAUUUCUCUUGGAAACCACAGCCACCUCAGUAUCAGCAACCUGCUCAAGCACCACAGCAAGCCUCAAACCUUGAACAAGCUAUGGUGAAUCUUUGCAAGGUCGUGGGAGAUUUUGUUGGAAAACAAGAAGCCAUCAAUGCUCGAUUCAAUCAAAGAAUGGACAGAGUGGAUCAAAGAAUUGAUAGAGUGGAGAGUAUGUUGAAUAAAAGGAUGGAUGAAAUGCAAAAUGAUCUAUCUCAGAAGUUAGAUAUUCUCCAAGAUUCAAUCUCAAGGUUAGCCAACCUCAACACAGUGCAAGAGAAAGAAAAAUCUCCUUCUCAACCUUAUCAAAAUUCCAUGAGUAUCCAUGAAAUGGAGGCUAAGGAGGGAGAACCUUCACAAAAGAGGGAAGCCAAAGAAGUGAUCACUCUGAGGAGUGGUAAAGAGGUUGAUCUGCCCACAUGCAAGCUAGAGCAUAAGGUAGAGAGUGAAACAGAGAAAGAAAAGAGGGAGGAAAUCAAAGGAAAGAAAAAGGGGAAAAGCAUAGAGAAAGAUGGCUAUGAUGUUAAUGUACAAAGAGAACCACAGAGGAUAGUCAUCAAGGAAGAAUUGAUGAAGAAAUACAUGCAUCCACCUUUUCUCCAAGCUUUGUAUGAGAAAAUCAUACAGAGAAAGCCUCAAUUGAAGGAUGCAAACUUCAUAUGGGAUCCGGGCAAGCUAAAUCAGGAUCAAAUUUUUUGAUGGACUUAGUCUUUUUAAAGACUAGCUAGUCCAUAUCCUUUUGUUUUGUUUUUUAGUUGUUUUAAUUUUGAUUUCAAUGCUUUAAUUUUGAUUUCAAUGCUUUAAUUCUGUUUGUUUUGAUGUAAUAUAGGUUUUUGGAUGAUCAAAAUCAAGAGGAAUUGCAAAGAAAUUGAAGAAAAAAAAUCGGAGCAAAAUCGGAGCAAAAUUGGAGUCAAACGGAGCGAAAACAGGGGAAAAACAGGGGUCUGCGAGAUUUCGCAGCCUCUGCGAAAUCGGCAUUUUGUUGCCAAACCAUUCCGCAACACUGUAGAAGUCUCUGCGAGGGCAUUUCGCAGCUGCGAAACCAAAUUUGGCACACGAGUGCCACUUCGCAGCACAGGAGCCCCCAUUUCGCAGCUGCGAAAGCGGCUGCGAACCAUCAAAGCAUGAAAUCCUCCAUUUCGCAGGGAAAGCUCCAUUUGGCAGGGUAUUUCGCAGCUGCGAAAGUGAAUUUGGCACACGAGUGCCACUUCGCAGUACAGUAGCAUCCAUUUGGCAGCUGCGAAACGCAUUGCGAAGUGGUAAAGCCUGAUUUCGCACCAAAAGCUCCAUUCCGCAGGGUAUUUCGCAAUUGCGAAGCCGGUUUUGGCACACGAGUGCCAUUUCGCAGCACAGUGACUCCCAUUUCGCAGCUGCGAAAUGGCUGCGAAGUCCCAAAAAGUGAAAAAUCCCAAUUUCACAGCCGCACCCCCAUUUCGGCAAUUGUUGGACACAUCUCGAUCACUUCCCGAAGUUCAAAUUAUGCAUGUAAUAUCUUGUUUGAAAGCUUGGGAAGUCAGGAGUCCAUAGCUUCAAAUGGUGCUCAAUUUGGAUUUGAAACGGAAAAGUUAUGGCUGCUUGAAGAUGACUGUGCAAACCAUGAACGGAAAUGUCGCACCUCAAUUUUGCUACUGUUGGACACAUUUUUGAAGCACUUCCUGGAGCUCAAAUUAUGCAUAUGAUAUCUCGUUUCAAAGCUUGGGAAGUCAGGAGUCCAGUGCUUCAAACGGUAUGUGAUUUGGAGGUGAAAUGAAGAAGUUAUGGUCGUUUGAAGGCAAGCGCACAAAGCUGAACGGGAAUUGCGCAGCCGAGACGCCAUUUGGAAGGGUGUUUCGCAGCUGCGAAACCACUUUUGGCACACGAGUACCAUUUGCAGCACAGUUCCCCUCAUUUCGAAGCUGCGAUAUGGCUGCAAAAUCACCUUUGAGCUUCGAAAUCACUUUUAAGCUGAGAAAUGGGCUGCGAGAAUUCCCCUGCUCUACGAAAUCCACCCCUCGCUGCGAAAAUGCUCCAAGCUUCAAAAAAUGGUCUGUGAACAUGCCACUUUUUCUGUGAAAUGAUCUCCAAGCUUUGAAAUGGUUGCGAAAUCACCUACAAGCUUCGAAAUGGCCUUCAGAUUGCAAAAUUGACUUGCAAGAUGGAGGAAGGUUUGCAAAAACACUUUGCAAAGCCAAGAGAAGUUGCUAAAAUGCCAACAGAGCCUCACAACCAUGUUUCUGAAGAGGAGAGCCCUGCACACCUUGAGAUCACACACACUAAGCCUCUCAUUCCAUUUCUGACCUCCUAAAACCAUCAAAUCCCAUAGCUCCAGCUGAGAGCUCCAGUUGAAGAGACUAUGCCAUCUAAGGAGACUACCUGAACAGAGGCCAAAGUCCUGAUCCAACCCACUCAAGAGGCUACCACAGACGCAUCAGCUCCACAGGACCUUACCAUUGCUUGAUCAUCUUUUUAUUUUUUGGUCUUUACAUAUUAUAUUAGUAUACAUAGCUCCAUGUUUUGAUGUCUUAUAUUCUAGAAUUGGAUGUAUUACUGAUGAUACAUCAUACAUAGACAUCAUUUUUGUUUAAACUUGGCAUUUUUCUAUUUCCUCUACUCACUAACCCUUAUGUUUUCUUUGAAACAUGUGGUUUCUCCUAUAUGACUCAGACUCCAUGUCACUCAAGAGGUACCACUUCCUCCCUAUUUUUUAAUCGCUUUUGUCACAUUGAGGACAAUGUUUAGCUUGGUUGGGGGAAGAGUUGAGGAAGUAAGUAUUGUUAAUAAUGCUAAGUUAUUUUGGUAAUUUAGUUGUUUUUUGCUUAAUUUUAAAUUUUUUAAGUUUUUUUUCUCUACUUUCCAUGGUUAUUAAGGAAAAAUUUUCAAAAUGAAAUGGGAGAAAUUGAAUUUUUGUCUUUUUACUUGACUUAGAUUUUGUAUUAUGCUUAUUAAAGUUGAUGAAUUGUUGAAACUUCUAUUGAAGUCAACCUUAGUUCUUCCACUUUAAGCUAUCCACACACUGUGCACAAUAGGUUUCGAUUAUAAGAUGAAAAACUAUUUCCCUCUUGACUUAGGAAAAUUUUAGACUUGGUACCUUUGACCUCAUUUAAUAGUGUUGGGACACCUUAUAAAAGACCAAUGAGUCUUUGAAAAAAAAAAAGAAAGAAAGAAAAAAUGUUUGCUUGCCUUGAAACCCGAGCAAGGUCUGAGGGGUAUAUGGUGAAAAUCUUUAAAACCUGGUGCCCUAAGCCUUCAUUGGUUGGGAGUCACCGACCUCAAUGCUCGUUACAAGGGUGGAUAGGUGGAGUUUAACAUACUGUAGGUGCUUGGGUAUUAAAAAUUCAUUCUCAAAAGUCCGGGGUGAAAUCCGAGGAGUUAGUGGUUGAAAGAUCCUUAAAGCUUGAUGCCCUAAACCUUAAUUGGUUGGGAGUCAUCGAUGGACCCCCGUUACAUGGACAAUUUAGAAAAGAAUACCUUUAAGCCUUGUACUCCUACAAUGAAAAAAAUUGUGAAAAAAGAGGUGCGUUCUUAGCCUAUUGGAGGUUGAUUAGUUUGCUAAGCUUUGAAAAAAAAAACUAGGUUGGGGGGAGAGAUUAGUUCAACAUACUAUAUUCGGAAGCUAAUAAAUAACACUUAGAUUUUUGUGGAAGAGUAAGGUUUGAUCCUUUGCAAGUGGAAAUGAUUUUAAAGCUUAAAUUUGCAUAAUGCCUUCUCUUUAUGAAUUGUGAUUAGACAAGUUAUUUGAUAACUCUUGUUGAAGUUUGAGUUUUAUUUCUUUAAUGUUCCAUGUGAGAGUUAGAUCAUCAUGCCACUUGAGAAUUGUUUUUUGAUCAGCAUGAUGUUGUAAAUUAUAGUAAUGUUUAUUUUUAUUUUUCUCUCCUUCAUUGCUAAGGGACUAGCAAUAUGUCGGUUGGGGGGAGUGAUUACUACUCAAAAAGUGCUAUUUGAUAGCUUGUAAUUAACUCUUUUAAACACUUUUGAGUAGUAGUUAUUGCCUUUUAACCCAAUUAACAUGUUAAGGACCCUUGCAAUCAAUUCUAAUCAAAUUGUGUUAAGUUUUGGUGUUUUUGUUAGUAAUUUGAUCACCAAAACAAUCCAAGAAUGAGGGAGAAUUGUAUAUAGUUCAUGGCAAAGCUUUUGGAAGCUCAAAUUCAUGAAGAACCAAGCUUUGGAGCUCCAUAGCCCUUUGCCAAAGUCGUUCAAAGUAUGCAAGGAGAGAAGCAAGGAGAAGAGGAAAACAGAGUGAAGAAAACAGAGGACAAGCAGCUGCAGUCUUCAUGCGCACUUUUGGAGCACUUCCCGAAGUCCAUUUUCUACAUUCUAUAUACCAUUUCAAAGCUCAGGAAGUCAAGAAUCUAAUGCUUCAAACGGUGCGUGAUUCGGAGUUGAAACGAAGGAGUUACAGCCAUUGCAAGCAGAUCACUCCAAAGUGUUGCGAAAUCAGCCUUUUGUUGCGAGAAUUUCGCAGCCUUUUUGUACAGUGCUAUGGAAUUCCUCCUGAAGCUACCCGAUACAUGCCGCAAGCUGGAACUCUGAGAACCUCAAGGUGGAAGCCAAUUUCGCAGCCCUGCGAGUUUAACUUGUUGUUGCGAAAAUAUUUCGCAGCCCUCUUGAGUGUCUGCGAAAUCUCGCAGACACCAUUUUCACCUGCGAAAUGUCCUUAGUGCUUCCUGAUAUUUGUGCACCGACUCUUUUAGAUCUUUUCUUCAGAUAUUUUUGUAUAAAUUUCCAUUUUUCUCCUUGUAAGCCACCAACCACAAGAUUUCUUAGCUAGGAAGGUUGGAAAAACUCCUCUAUAUAUAAACUCUCUUGCAUCCACUGUAAAAGGACGCUCGGAGAAGUAUGUAAUAUAGAUAUCAUAUAUAGAAUCAAAGAACAGAGCACUUGCUCUGUUUUUCAUAUAUAUUCUUGUCUUCUCUUUCAUUUUCAUUUUCUAGCCAACCAAACUCUGAGGAUUUUUCCUUAGAGGAUGAGAGGCUAAGCUUUUUGUCUCUUGGAGUGAGGAAAGCCGGGUAAGUUUCCACAUGCAUAAUUUGGAAGUUCUGUUGUUUUAGUUUUUAAUGAAGAGAAAGUGUGACCCGUUAGUGAUUUUUAUCUUUUUAGUUAACUUAAAACGCCUUUAAAUCACCUGGGCCAACACUUGGUAAGGCAAGUGAUCUCCAACCAAGGAGAUGCACUAGUUUACUCCUUGCGAGCCUUUGGGAGGUGGUUUGAAGGUAGGAUUUUCUAGAAUAGCCAACACUUGGUAAGCUUUUGGACUCCAAGGAGACAUCCAUUAGUUAUCUCUUGCGAGCUUUUGACGGGUAAUCCAAUGUUAAAGAUCACCUUGAAUGGCAAGUGCUAGGUGAUAGGUAUGAGCCAUUGCAAGAUGCAUCAGUGAGAGGGAUUUAAUGUUUGAACCCAUUAAUGGGAAGCAUCUGUACAACACCGGUUAGAGAAUUGACUAUAUGUUAAUUCUCUAAUGCGAGGAAAAUAAACAAGUGACCGGAACUCCCUUUUUGUAUGAGGAACCUGAGCCUAGUGAUCUAAACUCCAAGAAACACUUUUCUUUGUAGUUAAAAUCAGUUACUAUUUUUAGUUAGCUUAAAACCAAACCUUUUUCAUUUAAACAUCUUUAUGUUUUCUUUUAAAGCUAACCUUGAAAUGAAAAGGCACCAAUUCAUCUUUGAAUUAAUAUCAAUUGUGAAGUGAAAACCCAUCCCAGUGAACGAUCCUAGAGCCACUAUGCUAUAGUAGUUUUGUCUUUGCUACCCUAGUUCAUGGUGUAAUAGGUUAUAAAUUUUGUUGAUUACUCCCUCAAUCAAAGAGCACCAGCUGGACACGAAUCAGCUGAGACACCAAGUGGGCACGAAUCAAAUGGCGCCGCUGCCGGGGAUCGAACCUCGAAUCAAAUGGUGUCAUUGCCACUGCCGCUGCUAGGGACGAAUCAUGUAUCAGGUGAAGAUGGGACUUACAGUGGCCCAGAUGAGGCUGCCAUUGUUGCGGUCUAGUGCCCACACAAACCCACUUUUCUGAACCGCAAUGACAAUAUCUCGCAUGGUUCCAUUGACAUAUAUGCUCAGCAUCAUUGGUGCCUCCCCAAAGUCAGCAUCUGGGUUAGGACCAGGUGGGCAAUUAGGGGUGGAUAGAUUGUUACAUGCUAAGAACCACGCAUCGUAGCCUCCUAGUUGCCUGUACCACUUGAUCUUGUCGGAGUCUAAAUCAAUAGCCAAGAUGGAAUUGGAGUGGUUAUCAGGCUCAAUGCAUUGGUCAGGUUGAGUAGGGACAGUCUGAUUAUUCUGCUGUUCCUGGCAUUCACGAAUACUUAAAGGAGCUGAAUAUAGGUUACCAGUGGCAACAUAUACAAGAUUUCUUCGGACAUCUAUGGAAGGGCUACUUCCCCAGAUAGCUGCUCCAGCUAGGAAUGGCAACGGGCGGGUUUGGCACGGGUCACCCCUAUCCCAUUCCCGUCCCAAAAUAUUUAGUUAUUUCCCAUCCCAUCCCAAACCCGGGGCGGGGCGAGGCGGGGCAUUCCCAUCCCCGUUAUAGAGUUAAACUUAAAAUCCCAUCCCCGGCCCGGCCUGGCCCAUCCCGACCCGGGUAUGUGUUGUCGGAGCGGGGUGGGGCGGGGCUGGGCUGGGUUGGGCUGGGCUGUGCUGUGCUGUGCUGUGCUGGGCUAUGUUGGGAUGUGCUGGGCUAUGCUGGGCUGGGCUGGGGUUAUUAAUGAAACCAAAUAGUUGUCAAAUAUCUUUCUUUAACAAGAACAAUUGUAAAGCAUUUGAAGAUACCCGCUAACACCAAUGUCCUCCAUGUUAUGAAUGCACCCACUAUAAAGACAAUGAACAACCCAAUAACAAUAAAGAGCUCCAAAGCAAGUAAAUUGCCAAUAAAAGGCUUGAUGAUGAUGAACAAAAAACCAAAUGCCCAUUACAAGCUAUUCAAAUCCAGAUUAUUUUUGGAAGCAAGUUCAAGGAAUAAUACAAAAAUUUAGAAGUAUGGCAUCCACCUUAGCCUGUUUCUCAAACAUUGAUGUGGUCUUAAAACAUUCAUGUAUAGACACCCUAGAAGGAGAAACAUCUACAGCUCCAGAAACAUUGCUUUGGACAAAUUGCGACAUUGUGCUUUGAAUUAUGCACCAAUCAGUGUUCCCAUUGAACUCCAAAGGCAACAUAGAUGAUUCCAUUCUUUCACAAAUUUGAUCAAUUGGAGCCUAAUAGAGCAGACAUCACCUCUAUCGUCAUACCUGUUGAUCAUAAAUCCUAACCAUGAAAUAAUGACACUAGCUUAUCACUGAAAUGAGUUCCAUUGCCAUUCAUAAAUAUCAGCAAGCUUUUCCUAUUGGUAUUAACCCAUAAAAUACCUCAAAGAACCACAACAGAUAUAACCCUCAUUACCUUAAAAACCAAAGCCCUAGGUAGCCCACUUUUAUUUGGUUGUAGAAAACUACUUAUAAGUGUUGUUUUUAUCAGUUUCUAAUGUUUCAACUUUGAUGGUAAAAACUAUCAUUCCUUUACUUGAUUUUGCAUUAGCAUUUUUUAGCUAAUUUGUUGCAUGAAAACCUAACUACGGACUAUAUUCCCAGUAUAAAUUCCAAACAGCAAGACUAAGGAAAUUUAAACAUAAAAAAGAACACACAAUUAUCAGCUGCAGCAAUUGUACUAAUUUUGAAAGGAGAGACUCAUGAAUAUUUAACUUACUGGGACAUAUAGAAAUAGCAGAUAUUAGAGGACCAUAUCUUCCUCUCUUAGGGAUACAUGUUGUCCUUUUCCCAGCCCAAUACAAGCGGAUCUCUAGGGUAUUGUUCGUCACAGUCACAUUAGUUUGUAUAUGACUUCUUUACCAAUUCCAUUUGCCUUCUCCAUGAUAUUGAAAUCCUCCCACACCAACUUGCCCUGAAGUAAAAUGUCCCAAUCAAUAAUUCUCCUUAAAAUAGAUAAAUAUGUUCUUAUGAUAUAGUAACUGGCUACCUGAAUAUAGAUAUUAAAUAUGCGUCUUCCAAGCUUGCUAUAUGCUUCCUCAUCUGUAAAUUCUAUCUCCGCAAAGUGGAGGCAUACAUUGUAAUCUCCAUUUUUCAGACAAAAUCCAAAAUAGGUGAGGGAAAGGGGAACUUUACGUGCUGUCAUGUACAACACUGAGUGAUUCAUUGAGAGGACAGAGGAAUUUGAUUCAAUAUAUUUAUCUUCAUCAUCACUAUCAUCAUCCAUGAAGUCUCCCGUGCUGCUAAAUCCCCAAUUUGUACCGAUAAAAUUUCUUGAUGCACUUCCUCCACCAUCUAUAUCUCCUUCAUACUUGAUGUUCCCAAAGUUAUUUUUAAUAAUUUCAUUAGCUCCACCGUAGUUUAUAUGCAAUGAAUCUCUAGCUGCCACAUAUAGAAGUAUGAUGUUAAUAUCAACAAAAAAUACUAAUACAAUAAUUAUCAUUAUUAUUAUCCUAGUGCCAAAUUCCAACUACCUAGGUUUGGCCAGAUUGAAAGUGCAUAUGUAAACUACACAAAAAUAAAUAAAUAAAAGCUAAUGGCAAUUUUGAUUUUAUUUUAAGAAAUAUAUUUCUGAACUCCCACAGGAAUCUGGAAAUUGAACUUCUUAAUUUUUCUAAAAUAUGUCAAUUUUUAUAAAACAAGGAAUGGAAAUGAAAGUGCAAACUAUUUUAAGAUGUUUCUGGACAAGUUGUUUUAAGGUAAAAUAUUCUCUUUAAAAAAACAAUCCAGAUAUAGGAAACUGGUUCCCUCAACACUUUUUAUCUCACCAUGAUACACUAAGGUUAAACAUACAGAAAUUGACAUCUUUCUCUCUCUCUCACACACACACGCACACACACAACAAAUCCAUAUUGCAAAAUAAACCCAUGGAUCAGAAAAGGAAUUUCAGUGCAGUUCAUUAUUUGUAUGGAAUAGUUAUUCACUUUUUAUCCCAAGUCCAUACUUAUGUUUUGUGCAUCUGGAUCUAGUUGAGCAUGGAAGAAGCCCACUUCUAUUAAACAUAAGGAUCAGAAUAUGUUAGCAUUGUAAGUAGACAAACUACACAAUAUGGAUUUGAUGUUAUCAAGCCAUGCCACUAGAGUAGGAUGAUCUUGACUAUGGAAAAUGUAGUUGAUAGAGAGCAAGCAUUGGCUUUGCAACAUCCAUACAUUAGUUUCUUUUGGGUUCCUCAAUUAUCUAGUUCCCAUGAAAGAUUCCUAUAAGUGGCUGGUCAAUACCUAUGCACAACAUGGUUAAACAUGAGCAGGUAGACCUGGCCUGGCUUGUAGCAGUUGUUGCAGAGUCUCGCAUCAUGAGCAAGUAGACCUGGGCAUGAGCAAUCCCGAGCCAGGUGACCCAUUUUGCCACACAUAUGGCACACUGGAUCAUUAGGACAUUGGCUUGCAAGAUGUCUAGACUCUUUACAGUUCCAACAAAUGGUUGUUGAGUUACACUCAGCAGCUAUGUGGCUACAAAGGAGAACAUAUUAAAUCAGGUUUUUGCCAGAAAUCAGUUUGGUGGGUGAAUCAGGGUUUAAACUAUCUUGAGGAACCACCAUACAUGAUACAUCAACCAAGUAUUGACAUAUUUUAAUUCUAGAAAUUGUUCUCUCAUAAAACAUGAAAUGUUCUAGAGAAACUAGAAGGGGAGGAAUUCAUCUUACCCAGGAAGGCCACAGUUGUUGCAUACAGUCACAUUUGGGCAAUCUCUGGCAAAAUGCCCUGGUCUCUUACAUUUAUUGCAUAGAUAAUCUUGCCUGGAAAUUAACAAUAUAAUUGGUUGUGAAUUGUGAUAAUUUAAACCAAAAGACAGUAGCAACUAAAAGAUCUUGGUUUUAACAAAGGUAGAGUCCACACCUCAAGGAGACCACUUUUGAGAGGAACACAUUUAGAAAAUCAACAUACUGAAGAUAGCAACCUCCAAUGCUGCAGGCUUGGAUUACCACAGACAAUGUUAAUGUGUUUACAAGUAAAUGUUCAAUAGAAUUCCAGAGGGGAUUUCUUUCUCAAUUUUAUCUAUUACAGCAGCUCUUCCAAAUUGUUUAAGAAAAUAAUAUAUUUGUUAGAAAAUAACCAUACAUUGAUUUAGGUAAUCACUCCAAAGCAAGACUCGAGGAUCACAAGCCCUAUCCAAGUUAUUCUCAUCUAUGGUAUUUUCAAUUUCUUCAUCUUCAUGUAUCCUUUUUUAUUUUUUACUUUUGCAUGAAAUUUUGAAGUUACAACAAGAAAGCAUCCACCUAAUUUUAAGCCAUCUACACAUGCAUACACAUUAAGUUCCUAAAUAUGGUGCUUUCCAGAACUAGAUAAGGACACUGCAAUUUUUCAAUAGUUGUAGAGAAAUUAGUCUCUUCAUGUCACCAAUCUGAGGUAGGCAUACACAAUGUGAAUACAUGAUAAAAGCAUAAGUUUUAUCUUUUAGCACUACAAGCACCCGAACAUAAGUGAUUCCUAGCAAUAAGCAAGGCCUAAGAAGAAAGAAAGAAGGAAAAUUGCAUCUAAGAACAAGUGAGAAAUGGAAUAGACAAAAGAACAUAAUCAUCACUAAGAGCACACUUUUCAAACAAGAACCGCAACAUGUAACUAUAACAUUUAUGCAACAUGGGCUAUAAGUGUGUGUGUGUAUAGAUAAAAGGAAUAACAGUUAGAUUUUGCUGAAUUGAUAAAGGAGCAAACCGGUGAACUCGACUAUCCUUUGGGUAAGGUGCGUCUCGGUAAGAAGCACGGUCACUGCUACGAAGCCUCUUGGCUUGUGGUGGGCUUUUGCUUUUAUCUAGAGUCAUACUGGAAACCUGUAAGUAAACUUUCUCAAAUAUAUAACAAAAUGAAAGAUAAAACACAACACUAUUAGGCCCAGGAAUUGCCAACUCUGACCCACCAAAAGUAUCUGCUGCCUGCCUAUAUCACCACACAGCCCAAACCACAAACAUAAAUCUAAGUCAACAUCCAAGAGUUCCAACCCAAAUUACAUUGAACACACUCUUAAAUUCAAUAAUAAUAAUAAUAAUAAUACAUGCACAUAAAAGCAUUAUAUUAAAAGGCAAUGCCAUGACAACAGAGGAAAGAGAGGAAAAAGGGCACAAGCAAGACGUAGGAAAUGAAAAAAAAGAAAAAAGAUGAAUCAAUAAUAUUUUGUUCUCCACAACACGAGGAAAUUAAAAAAAAAAAAAAAACUUAGAUAACUGAGAAACCCAAAAGAAACUUAUGUUUUUAUAUUUCAUUUACUUCAUUUAGCAUUACAAACUGAAUUGUUUUUAUAUAUAAGCUCAAAAUUUGCCUCACUUGAGUUGGAAACCAAACAAUUAACAUUACUGUUCACUGGUUAUAUCUAGAACUUACGACAAAUCUUAAAGAGAAGAAAAGAGUCUUACAAGUUGUACUUCUGAGAUGAGCUUUGGUAGCGAUUUAUAUUUCUAAUUCACAUGAUGAAAAAUCAUGUCAGGGAAGUUAAGCAGUAACUAUAUUGAAUGCUAUGCUUAUGAAUAAAUCUACUUACUGAAUUUCUUGGCAAUCAACCGGCCAAGUAAAAUUAUUAUAGGAAAGAUCACUAUGAGAAGAAACAAAAUGAAUAUCAUAUUCCAGACAAUGAGAAUAAAUGGAAUGCAGAAAAGUUAAUGAGAUUAGAAGACUAAAUCAGUAUGACAUUCAAAAUUAACAUAACUGAAAUAUCUGUAAAAAAAAAAAAGUACUUUCAUAGAAGCUAAUAGCAAUUGAUGUUUCUCUUUCAAGAAAUGGACAUAUUUUUCUUUAUAUCUUAAAUUUUAAAGAUUCUUUUGUAACUUAUCCAAAAUUUGCUUUAAAGGAUAGAAAUUUUAAACAUGACUAAAAUGAUGUUUUAGAGAAUUACUUCCAAUAAAAAACUAAAGAUGAUAGAUUCUAGAGGGCCCAAGCAGAAUCUGAAAGAGAAGAUUCCAUGAACACUAAGACAAAUGGACUCGUAAUGGACCUGAUUGAAGUCCCCCAUAUGACACAAAACUACAGCAAAAAGGUUGUAAGCUCCUGCCGUCAUUCGAUGGUAGGGACCACAAACUGAGACCAGUUUUGCCAGAACCUGCAAAAACCACAAAAAUACAAAAGGUAGCAUAUUAAUUUACCAAUGAACAGGCAAAGAAAGAUUUUUCUGCUGCACCCGAUUGGUAGUUUACAUAUAGAAAUGACAAACCGAUGGACUUUUAAAUCAAAUACCUUUGUCCCAUAGCUGACUGCAUCUUCAAGUUUUCCCUUAUCUAUAGUUGUUUUUUAUGAUUCUAGAAGUUGUCGUCCAUCUGCAGAUGAGCAUGCUGCUUGCUAAAAAGAAAAAGAAAUGCAAUUAAAUCCAGAUUAUUGAAUGAUUUAAUUAUUUGUAAGACAAGAUAAGAAACAAUGUGUUCUAUUCUUCUAUCAAAUAGCAUAGUUUGUUCAUCACCUUAUGCACUGGUACCAAGCUAAUAACGUCAAGUUUUUGGAAAGGGUAUGGAGAAUCCAUAUCAAAAUCCUUUGGAACUAGCUCAAUUCCCACCUGAAAAAGAAAGAGGCAGAAUCGUCAGCCCUCAUUUCCACUGUGAGCAAGAAGACCUGUUAUCCAUGAGUUUUUCCUAAGCAUUACAAAUAUUUGUUUUAAUAUAUUUCAUUUCUUGAUAGGAUUUUCCCUAAACUAGGAAAGAAAUUAAUUUUGCUUUUAAGAAUAUAUAUAUAAUUGCUGCCCAUCCAUGAUAUAAAUAUCCUAAGUAAGUUCUUAAUUCUUUUUCCAUUCUCUCAACACAACUGAAGCAUUCUUCAAAUUUAUAUAAAUAAGUUAUUUAAAAUAACCCAUGAUAUAAUGUUUAAAAUCAUAAAACUACAAAACCCACAUAUCCAAUAUAAAAGAAUGUGGGGCAUGCUCAAAGUUUUGGAACACAAAGGCCAAUUCCAAAAUACCUUAUGACAUAAUCCCCGUAGAACUGCAAAUUUCCGCACAUCUUUUUAGUUUAAUGUGCUAAAAUCCCAUUCAUAUCGCUUCUUGAAGAAUACCUCCAACCAUCUCCACACAAGGGAAUGAGCAUUGCAUGACUGAUUUAAUUCUCUAUUUCCAGGAACCCCAAGCAUCAGAUUCAGUGCAACACCUAUUGACAUAGCCAAUUUCUCAGGAAUAACAACAACAGCUAUUAUUGCCUGCAGAAUGUGCUUAAAAGCUCGCACUAUCAUCUCAUGAAUAUAAAGUGACUGUAGUUACAAUAAAAAGAAAUAAUGAACUGUUUAUUCAGGCAUAGGAGAUGAACUCUUACAUUGUGGAAUGACACAUUAUCCUUGCCCAUAAACUGGUACAGAUCCACAUUUUUAGGGUUCUUCCACCACUUUUCCCACUCAGGUGUAUAGCAUGCAGUGAUUGAGACAUAAAAUGUGGUCACAACAUAAGUAUAUACAAAAUGCACUUCAUUUUCUUCAAUGCAUUGACAGUAUAUGCAAUAUAUGGACAUGAUAAGAGAAAAAAAUGAUAGGUGGAUGAAUGAAAAAUCAUAGCAUGAGAUUGUUUGGAACUUAAAAUGUUAGAGCAUAAGGUAUACAUACAUAAAUUAAUAUAAUCUGAAAAUCAAUUACCUCUAACAUAUUAGCAGAGAAAUUGAAUACUGUAGGUAGUGCUCUGCCUCCUAUAUAUGCUUCUGCAUCCACUAUUAUAUGCUCAAACCGAACUUCAAUGGUUGGAAUAUCAAGUCCAACUCUGUUUUAGGCAAUUAGAAACCAACAUAAAUACAUCAUACAAAAAGGCUUCAUAGAAAAUAAGAAAAAUAAAAUAACUCAAAAUUCCUAAAUCCCCUUUAACUAAGCUGGACUUAAAAGACCUGUUAAUGGCCUUUGGACUAGGCUGACCAGACCCACUUCCUAUAACACAGGAUGUCAAUCUAAAAUAAAAGACCAGGUUCAUUUGAGAAUUUGUACCUUCCUUUUCAACGCAUUGUUGGCUUCAAUUAGCAUAUGUUCCUGCACCCACAUUUCCUUACAAGGACUCUACCUUGCAAGUCUUGAACUUGAUUGUAAAGAAUGUGGUUCUUAGUUACAACCAUGGUAAUUAACAUCAUAUAAGACAUGCCAAAAUAUAAUAUCCAAAAUUAAAAUAUAUCCAUAAGCUUAACAACAUUGAAAAAAAUAAAAAAAAAAAGACAUUACAAAGAAAUUGUUAGCAAAAAAGAAAGAAAAAUGUCUCUAACAUCAUCUUAAGUAAAAAAUCUAAAGCACAAGUAAAUCAUCAUUUUCAUCCAUCAUUGUGAGUUGGGGUUGUGAGUCAUGAAUUGAUAAAUCACCUAGUAAAAAAAAAAAACACCAAAAAAAAUAUUAGAAAACUUUACUAAAUAUUUUAAUAAAAAACAAUUCAUAAAAUUGAUAAUUAUGUAAAUCGGUUACCUUCUUUUUCCUUCCAUAACCAACUUUGAGCACACAUUAAGGCCUCCAAAGUAUCUGGAUGAAGCCUACUGCGAUGUUUUGAUACCACCCUACCACCCGUGCUAAAGGCUGACUCAGAUGCAACUGUAGAUACCAGAAUAGCAUAGAUAUCACGAACAAUCAUCUACAAAGUCGAAUACUUUAUACCAUUUGUCUUCCACCAACUUAAAACAUUAAAAUUUGAAUUCCUUGGCAGAAUAGACUCCUCUAAGUAAUAAUAUAACUCCGACUUCGUAUGACUUUCUCCAAUGGUACUAUGAACAAAUAAGUCAAACUUUGAAAGAGGAUCUUGUUCAUCAUAGUUUAACUCCAAAAGAGUUGAAUCUGAUGAAGUACCAUAGGAUGAAGUUUUUUGCCCCAAAUUAGACUUUGAUUGAUACUCAGAAAGCAACUCAUAACACAUUCCACAGAUUUUUUCUAUCUCAUUUGAAGCUUCAGACCCAUACAUUAGUGGAAAGUAAAACUCUAAAAUCUUUAUCUUGUAUCUUGGGUCAAAUAUAGCUGCUAUUGCCAUCACAAUAUGACACCCACUCCAAUAUUUGUCAAACUUUUGCAACAUACUUGAUGCCAUCGUUUUCACAACAUCAUUUGAGCAUAUCAACCAAUCAUAUAAUGCCUCUUUGAUUUCGCACACUUUGAUGAAGAAAGUAUUUGCAGUGGGAUAAUUUCGUCCUGAGAACAACUCUGUUAUGUUGUAAAACAAUUUCAAUCUUCCACAUAUUUCCUUUGCCAUAUUCCAUUCUUCCUUUGAUGGCACAACCAUGUAGUAUUUUUCACGUUGCUUCAAACAUGGGAACACAUCUUUAUAUGUUAUAGCAAUUGAUAACAUCAAGUAUGUGGAAUUCCAUCGUGUCUUACAAUCAAGACUUAACUUCUUAUUGCAUGGAAUACGCAAUUGGCGAGCUGCAUCUUCAAACUUUUCCAUUCUUGAUGGGGUUGCUGACCAAUAUGCAACACUCUCACGAAUUUUUUCAAUUUCUACUUCAAUGACAUCCAAACCUUCCUUAACAAUUAAGUUCAACACAUGUGUCGCACAUCGCAUGUGGAAAAUUUUUCCAUUCAAUAAGAGUGAAUUGCUCAAAGAUAAUUUCUCCACCAAGAUAUUGAUCAUUCUGUCAUUACUUGAGCAAUUAUCCACAGUGAUUGUAGAAACUUUUCUAUCCAUAUUCCAAUCCAACAAGAAAUCCAUUAAUACAUUUGAAAGAACUUCUUUUGUGUGUGGAGGAGGCACAUAAACAAACCUAAAUUAAGAAUAAAAAAUAUCAUUAACACAAACAAUAUCAUUAAAGGAUCAAAUAAAAAAACACUUUGGAAGUUAAAAAAAAAUAACAUAACUAACCUUACAAUAUGAUGGUGUAGUAACCAAGACUCAUCAAUGUAAUGUACAGUGAUAGCCAUGUAGCCUUUCUUUUGAUUUGAUGUCCACAUAUCAGUUGUGAUAGCAAUUCUACUUUGAAGUUUCUCUAUGUAGCUAAUCAUCUUAUCUUUCUCAACCUCAUAAAUCUUCAUUAUAUCACUCUUAAUCGUAUUGCGGGAAACCAUCUUAAACAAGGGUUGGAGACUAGUAGCAAAUUCUCUAAACCUCACAUGGUCAACGAUUGAAAGUGGGUACUCAUGCAAUAUAAUUGCACGUGCAAUCUUCUCUCUUGAGAUUUCUUGAUCAAAGGUAGAACCACCAAUUUGAACUUUUCCAUGACCUUUUCUUUCUACUGCCAAUAAUUGUUGCCUAAUAUCAACAUUUCUUCGUUUCAUGCACCUAUCUAUGUGUACAUGUAAGUGUUUUGUUCCAUUCUUGCUAUCGGCCUUAAGCUUUCCCUUACAGUGCUUACAAAUAGCAUAAUCUUGUCCAUCUUCUAUGAUUUUAUCAAAAUCAUUCCAAACAACCGAAGUCAACUUUCUUCUUUUAGAUACCAAGGUUCCAUCAGUAGUUGAAGUACUGCCUGUAAUUGGAGUUGAACCCGCACUUGGCAUGGAAAAGUUUUCCCCUUCUUCUGAUGUCAUUUUUCUUAAUAUAAAAUAAAGUCUAUAAGUAAAACAUUCAAACCUAAAGUAAUAACCUAAAGCUUGGAUAUGGCUUGAAGCAAGGGCUUAAAAGGCAAGAUUGUAUUUAGGUUAACCUCCAAGAAUUGCAAGAUGUCAACAUAGUUUCCAUUAAUAGGAAAAUAAAUGUAAUAGAAAAGCAUCGAGGGCAGUGCAACCGAAAGACACAUGUAGUUUAUAUGGACAACCCACAGCAAAUGAGAAGAAAAUAAAAAAAAAAAACAGAAAACAAAGCAAACAAAGAAUAUUCUAAAAAGUAAUAACCAGAAAACAAAACAAAACCUUGAAAUUAGGAAAAUUUAACCAACAUCAAAACUAUUAACAGACAAAAUUUGCAAAUCAAAUUCUCUAAAGACAAAAGAAUUUUAGGGAAGAAUAAUUCUAUAUUGAAUGGCACAAUAUGGAGACCACUAGCACAAAACACAUACAGCUGAAAAAUAUUGAAUAGGAUUUAACAUGGAAGCAAAAGUGGCAGUUUCAUAAAAAUUAAACAAGGGCAAAUGACUCAUUUGUAAUAGUUACUAGUAAAAAGCACAUGAAUAUUAGUGUCACUAGAUUGUAUCUUAGUGUGAUACACACUAGAAAUGGGUUCAUUGAUGGAAUACAUAGUAGAUGUUCAGAGGGAAAAUAAGCACUAGUUAGAGAAAACAAGAUUCUUUUUCCCUAUUCUCAAGUUUAAUGAAUUUAUCAAUUGGUUUGCAGGAUGCACUUAGAGAACUCUGGAGCUUAGCUUAUCCUGGUAGGGAGCUACCCUCUCUUAAGUCAGAGCUCUGGAAUGAGAUGGGUUGGCAAGGUACUGAUCCAUCGACAGAUUUUAGGUGGGUAGAGGACUAUAUAUAAAUAUCUGGUAUUUACAGACUUCUCUCAUGUUCAUGUGUAUUAAUGUGAAUUUGGUCAAACACAUUUUAGGGGUGGCGGAUUUAUAUCAUUGGAGAAUCUUAUCUUUUUUGCCAAGAAGUAUCCAGUUUGUUUCAUGUUCUUUCUUUCCUUUUCCUUCAAUGACAUCACUUGAAUUUUUUCCCCCUCAUUUUAAGUCACGAGUAUUUGGAGAACAGUUUGAGUGGUUUAGUAGUUGAGUAGGUAGAAUAAAGUUUCUUUGAGUAGUUGCAAUGCCCUAGUCCAUGUUCCAGAAGGUGUGGCUAUGAUCUUGGAAAAAUCAAAUAUGGACUGGUUGAAUAUAAAUUAGUCAUUGUUACAAAAGUAGAUCAGUGAGAGCUUUAAAAUUCAAAAUUGCAUAAAAAUGCACAUAGAUUUGGUUCCCUUUAUGUUUUGCAUGAUAUAAAACUUUUGGAGCGUACUUUGAGAUAACUAACAUUCCAAGAAUCAUUAUACAAAUUAUCAUGAGGCCAUGCAAAUAAAUUCUAAUUUUUCAGGAUUAUCUCUUCCUUUAGAUCCGCCUAAGUUUUUGUGCUAUCAUAAUAUGGAAGCAACAAGAAUGCAGAAUUCCUCAAUGCAUUUCUAGAGUCAAACAAAAUUAAACUUUCAUAUAACCAGUAGAAAAUAAAUUUGCCUGUAGAGAACAUAAAAAAUGUCCAAUUGCACAUUCACAACCUCAUACUUCACAUGAUAAAGAACUGAUAUGCAAAUUAAACAACCAUUUGGUGCUGGAUAAGUAAUCCUGGUGAGAAAGAAGCAAGGGAAUAAUGCAAGGAUCAAUUGAAUUCUCAUAGCGCCUAAACGAUUAUGGUAUUUUUGAAAAAGGAGAGACUUCAAAUCUCAUCCCAAUUAUUAUAAAGUGCAAGUAAAAUAUGUAUAUAUAUAUUGAACCAACUAUUGAAAUUCAUGAGAAUUUGGCAUGACUAAGCACUAAAUCUGAAGUCCUUAUCUGCCACUUUCUGUUAAGAAAGUCCUAAUAUCCAGAUGAACUUUAUAAAUAUAACAAAACAAAUCAACUUUGUGCUUGUUUAGAUAAACUUCCCGUUUUCUGUUUUUGAAAUAAGAAAAUAGUGGUAACUUUUAUAUAAAAUACAAAAACACUUAGAGACUUACAUUGAAAAAGUAAUACUUUUAAAAACUAUUUAAUUAUUUGAAAAUGAUUUUUAAAAAUAAAAGGUAAAUCUAUACUUUUUGUACAAGAUGUUUUAUUUCUAUAUAAAAGUUUUUGAUUUUAAAAACAAAAAACAACAAGUGUAACAAACGGACAUUUUUAAUCAAAUGCAUGUAAUGAUCAGGAUGUCUCAUUAGAGUGAUUGGACACUUUGUAAUCAAAUGCAUCUAAUGAUCAAGGAGUCUCAUUAGAGUGUAUAAUCUAUAUUUUUUGUACAAGAUGUUUUAUUUCUAUAUAAAACUUUUUGAUUUUAAAAACAAAAAACAGGAAGUGUAGUCAAACAGACACUUUGUCAUCAAAUGCUUGUAAUGAUCAGAAUGUCUCAUUAGAAUGUAUAGAUGCUCUAGUGACAAGUAUAUCUCUUCUUAACUUUGUUAAAUGCAUCUUUAUCCAAGCAUUAUGAUUCAAUGACAGGGAGACAUCCCCAAUUUUCCAUACCCCGUUUUUUGGCUCAUACAUUAUUUAUGAUUUUCGUUUGUCAUAUUUAUUUCUUGACAUGAGGCAGCUAAAAACCUUUUUCACUUGUUAGUUCCAAGUAUUGUUCUUUGUUUAUUUUGGUGACAUUGUUCUAUACAUUAUAAUCUACUCACCCUCAAAAAUGGAUUCAUUCAGGGAUAAAGAUUCAACUAAAUUAAUUCUACAUGGAUGAAAUUUGUGACUAUCAGAAGGGAAGGGUACGUAUAAAAAAUUCCAUAAAAUCGGAGUUCCAAUUCCAAUAGAAGGACUUGUAUUACAACAUUAGAUGAUAAAUCUUAUAAAACUCAAUAGUUCAGGACCCAGGAUGACCACGUAAUUUCAAGCAAUCAAAUGCCAGUUUGAUACUUUCUAACAAUUCAAUCUUUACUAGUACUCAUAACACUUUCCUUCAAGGACGUUUGUAAAAAGCCUAAUUCAAUAUUGUAAAUAAUCAAUAUCUCAUUUUAUCAGUAGCGUUAGUACUCACAGUGUCCCAAAUAUGCAGAAAUUUUUAUCCUUCUGAAACAACCACUCAAUGCUUUCAUCCAUGUCAUGACAUAUCAUAUCAUAGCUUCAAAUUUUUGGAUGCUCUAGUUUUGUUCACAACUAGAUGCCCAAAAGAGUUAAGCUAAGAACUUCAAUGAAUAACUACAUAUUUGGUAUUUAGGGAUACUUACGUACUUCGUUAUUCUGCUCUUAAUAUGAAACCCUAGAAAAAUUUGACGAUAAGAUCCGUUUCUCAAUAUGAAGGGAGUGGAAGCAUUUGACUAUAAGAUCUGCUUAGUCCCUAUUAAGAUUCGCAAGAAACAGAUUCAAAACCCUAAAUAGCAACCCGAAAACUAAUAGAAAAAAAAAAUCAUUCAAUAAUAUGAAACUGGAAAUGGAAAAAUCCUAAAUCUCGUAUCUCUUUCCCGAAUUAGAAACGGACUACAAUGCCAAAUCAAGGCAUCAUUCAACCAAAAAAUCAACAAAAAAUCUUACCGGUUUGUAGAUACGUGAAGAUAAUAGUUGUGAUUCUUGAUUUCUUGUGAAUAUGGGAUAAACAAGGAUUAAUCGAGAGGAGAUAGAGGAAAUGAGAUUAUUGAAUGGAUUUUCGAAUGGAUUAUCUGAUGGAUUUCUCCAUUGAGUGGGAGGAAAAACCUUAGCGUCGACAGGAACGAGAACUGAGAGAAGAGGACCUAAAAUGAGGAGAGGAAGCUAAUAUUUAUAAGUGGAGGGUAAAGUUGUAAUUUCAUAAUCGGGGCGGGGUGGGGUGGGUCAAAUUAACUACACCCGACCCCACCCCGAACCCGAUUCGGGUUUUUAAAAAAAGCCUGAACCCGGCCCAUCCCCGAUUGCCAUGUUCCUAUACCCGUCCCAAUAGGGGCGGGUCGGGGCGGGUUACCCGGGAAACCCGCGAAAUUGCCAUUCCUAGCUCCAGCAUACUCUCCUCUCUCGCCAUGAUUAUCCGGCAAAGUGAAGGUCUGCCACAAUAGAGCACCGGUUUUGAUGUCUAAUUUAGAGAGGCUACCACGGAAAAUGCAGCAUUGUUCAAUGCUGAGGCCUUCUUCUAGUGAAGAUGUUCCAACAUAGAAGCUCCUGUACAUAAAAAAAUGUUACUGAAUUUCAUAAUUAUGUUAUUGUAUAUACGAUCAUGCAAUCCCCUCUUACAACAGCAGCCCACAAAUUUUACAUUUUCCAUAACCGUAAAAACUCUUUUUUUCAACCAUCCACCUAGGCAAUAUUCCAAUCAACAACUCUUAAAGAAAUUUUUUUUUUUCAGUUAGAAAAAUGGAAUAAUUACUUGUGUACCCAAAUAAAGUUAAUAAACUACUAUAAUGCAGAUGUGAACUGCAGGCUUAGAAUACAAACUAGGCUUGACUUUUGACUCAGAAUUUGAACUUUAAUUAAGUGUACACAAUCAUAAACAUAUCAUUAGAGACUAGUGAUUUUAAUGGAUCCAUGUUACUGACACUUCAUGAAGAUAUCCAUAUCCAAACUAGUCAUGUUACUGUUCUGUUUUUGGGGUAGGUACGUAACUAGGUGAAAUUAAUUUAGACACCUGCCUAACCUCUUCUGUACAACCCAUAGUUGAGUUUUAGAGUCAUGCAAGGGAGGAUUAAUCAGAUAAUCCUCAUGCUUUGAUGCUGAAAAAUCUCAAAGAACUACAACUUGAUUAACCACAAAAAGUUAAUGUCUAGCCAUAUGCUGAUUAAACAUAUGCCAGCAAUGCAGUUGACAAAUUUAUUGUGUUUAUCAUCGUGCAAACGAUCAAUCUAUAUAUAUAUACAUUAUGACAUAAAUUUCUUAAGUUGGUAUAGAUCGACCAUACUUUUCAUAUAGGCCAUUGACUUUGCCUUUCAUGAGUACCACACACUAUAUAUAUAUUGGUAUCCUGAACCCCAAGAAGGGAUGUAUGUUGACUUUCAUCAAUAUAUGUAGAGAAAAGACUAACUUUUAAAUUAACAUAUUAAGUAUAAAUGGCUUAAAAUUUGUUUGAAUCUCAAAAUAAAUGAAUUGAGAAUUUGAGAGAGGAAAAGGAAAUGAUAAAAUAAAAUUAUUGAAAGCAAGGUCCUAUGUCAAUUUAUUUUCACUCUUCUUCCUUCCAUCCAUUAAUUGUUAAUUAAGAAGAUGCAAAGAGGGCAUGAGAGUUGCUUACCCCAUGUGAAAGGUUUCAGACAUGGUAACAACACCUGCAGGAUUGCUAUCAAGCUGAGUGGACCACACAAGCCUUUCUGUGGCUUGCUUCACCGCAAUGACAACAGCAGGUCCAUAGAUUCCAAUAAUAAGCAUGUCACCGGCUAUUGUUGGAGUUGCUCUAGACACUGUCCAGUUGACAUUAUUAACGAAUCCAGUUGCAUUAAGACCAGUUAGCUUCUGCAGGUUCUGCUUCCAUACAAGUGAUCCAUCUGAUGCUUUAACCGCGUAGAGGUACCCAUUCCAGCUUGGGAAGUAAAGGGUACCAUUGAAGAUUGCUGGUGUAGCAGUUAUGUCUUUCCCUGCAUAGAAUUCCCACUUCAAACGAAGUUUGGAAGCAGUUUCAGGGCUGAUUUUGGUUUCGGUGCUGGCAUAUCUUCUGUUAUACAAAUCUCCUCCAUGGUUUAACCAUUCUGCUGGUUCUUUCUGUGAGAACUUGUCCCUCAUACUAUCCCACUGGAACCAAAUUAAAAUACGGAAAUCAAGUUUAGAUUAGUGCACGCCGUGACAUCAAAACAAAAAAUAGAUUGUAAGAGCUAGUACUUACUCUCGAAUCUGCACAAGCUGUGAUGGUAAGCAGACAAAACAUACAUAGAAAAAGCACAAAAGGAUUGUUGUAGAAUCCAUGGGGCGCCAUGGAAAUGGAAUUAACUUAAGUAAUCUCAAGAGAUUUAAGACUCUUCUUCAUUCAUGUAUCUUAUAUAAAGAAGUUGGAAGGCUUCUAAAAGUCUCAUGUUUGACUUCACUACAGUGUAUGUAUAUAGACAUGCAUUCACUGAUUUGAAGGAUUGCUAACACCAAAAAUUUCUAGUCUUAUCUUAAAAAAUGUUCCAGGUCAAUGACAGUAGAAUUUGCAAUGAUAUGUUAUCCCAUCAAACUAAGUUUUGUUAACUCGUAUGGCGACUCUAAUACUUCUCAAAUUCAAUCUUGAUUCUUUUGUUUGCUUGUUCCUAAAGAUUAAUUCUAGUUGCGUAUUAAUAAGUUCUGUUGACUAUUAUUAAUCGAUAAUAUCUUUUGAGUCUGAUACCUGUCACAAAAUUCUAACAAAGAUUAUUGUAGAAAGAUGUACGCAUUGGUAAUCAGUUUAUUAAUCUUUCAAACAUGAUUUGAAGAUUACUUUUGCAUGUGUCAUUUACUAUUCCUAUUAGCCUAAAUCAUGGUUUUGACCAAACAACCGGCUGCCAACAUCCUCAAAUCACACGCAACCUUGCCCUUUUUGCAUUCAGACAUCCUCCUGAGAAGAGGGUUUAGAUCCCAUUUCAAUGUCCCAUUUCUAUUUGUUGGUGUAUUUUAUGAUUCAUCAGUAUUGUUGCUUUGGGUUUUGCCUACUUUUUGGUAGCAAAAAUGAGCUAGAAAAGAGAUAAUUAAAUUGUAUGGAAUGUAUAAACUCAAGGGGAUUUCACUGUGAAUGUCUUACUAAUUGGCGUGCAAGUAUUGUCUUGGUUGUUCAAAAGAUUUUUCUUGCUUUGUAACAUUUCCAUCUCUUGUACUUAAAAUCUCUUCUCACACAUAGAUCCACAUAAUCGAUACCCUCUGUUGAUGUAUGGGAAAAGCAAGUGCUAAUUUCAGCAAUACAUGUAUGUAGCUAUUGCCAUCACUUCAUCAACCGCUGAAAUUCAAUAGCAAAGGUCCCGGAUACAUAAUACACUUUAUUUUCUAUGGAAAUUAUAAGAUAAGGUGCUUGCUCUUGGAAAUAUAUGAUAGUUUCACAUUCCCCAGAUCAUAAUGCCCAGUUUCAUGUGACACAGAAGGCUAACAACGAGGUUCCAGCAGUACAGGUUGGUAUCAAAUUGUAUCCACUGCCGACAUAAAUGCAACCAUUACUCAAUGAGGCACCUCCAUACACAGAGGCACCCGUGUUAUAUGACCAUAGAAUUUUUCCAAACUCGACUUCCAUUGCAUAUACUGGGCCUUAUGGGUGCGUUGAUCCAGCAAAUAGGACACCAUGAGCCACAGUCACCGGGCCACUGGCCGUGGCAUUACUAGGAUUGGCCGUGGACCAUAGGAUUUUGCCAUUGUCGGUAUCCAUGGCCACCCAUCCACUAGCAGUUGUGAUGUGUUUCGACGGUAAGAGAGUGAAGUUCUUUCCAGCAUUAUUAACAAUGUUGGUGUAGACCCUCUUUCCAUCUGUGGCUGCCCCCCAAGUGCCUCCUCCCAUUAGGCCACCAGGUCCAGCCCCUCCUGCAAGUCAAAGCCUUUAUGGUUAAGCGGAAACCAAGAAUUCUCCAUACCAAAGAGAACUUACUGUGUACUAGACCAGGAUGCCAUUAUCGCGAUCUAAAGCCCAUGCCAUUAUUGUUCAAAUAUACGCUCAGCAUCAUUGGGGCUUCCCAAAAUCAGCAUCUGGGUUGGGGCCUAGAGGGCAAUUGGCGGUUGAAAGAUUGGUACAUGCUAAGAGCCAUACAUCAUAGCUCCCCAGCUGCCUAUACUGUUAUCACCACCCCAUGUCGUCUCCACGUUCACCACCAUGAAGGGGUGAUUCUGAAGUGGUCACACCCACGUCCUCCACCAUAAUCGCACUUUUUCCGCUGCAUUAAAGGAGGGUGUGGCAAAUCUGCAGAGACGUGGUAUGAUGGGAAGCCACGCAUAUAUAUUUCACAUAUGGUCCCGAACUCGUGAUCUACUGUUUUUCUUUCUUCAGUAAUACACCAUCCAUAGGAGAUCAUCAGAGUUUGGAAACUGAUUACAGCAACUUGAAUCAAUGGCUGGAGGUAAGUAGACUAUGCCUAGUCUUUUACAGAUUCAGUUCAUCUUGCAAGUGUUAAUUUUGAUUUGAAUGUAUCAUAUGAAUUUCUCACAUUUGGUAUCAGUGCAUGAAAAUCUUGCCUCUGCCUUGGUAUCUAUUUUGCUAGAGAAUUGUUUUUUUAAUGGUUUCUCUUCUUUGUAAGAUACUAUCUAUAAGUUGAUCAUGCUUUAAAAAGAGCAAAUAGCUUCAGCCUUGCCACCACAUAUCACAGGCCUUCAUGGCGCUGAUCAUUGCCGCCAUUUAGGCGCCAUUUUAAGGCGUUCCGAAAGCGCAUUUUCGGUGCUGUUUUGGGCUGUAUUUUCAGCCACUGCGGGCACCAUAUUUAGGCGCCAUUAAAGCACUGAUGCUGGUGCUAGUUUCAAGGGUUGCAGGCGCCCAUUCAGGUGCUAUUUUCAGCCCAUUUCAAGCGCCAUUCAGGCGCUAUUUAAACGCCGCUGCUGCUGCUAGUUCAGCCGCUGCAGGCGCGACUUAAGGUGUUCUAAAAGCGCAAUUUUUGGUGCUUUUUGAGGCUGCAGUUUCAGCAGCUGUAGGUACCAUAUUCAGGCGUUGUUCACAGUGGCUGCUGAUUCCGUGAAAAUCCAGUCGGGUCUUUUAAUCAAAAACAUUUAUAAAACCUAUGACCUCAUACUAGCGUAGCAAAGCUACUAUAGCAUAGUGGUUCUAGGGUCGAACUCUGGGAUGAGUUUUCAUUCUACCAGUGAUAUACUCAAGAUUAGAAAUUGAAUUUGGUGAUUUCCUUUGUUAAAAACUUUAAGUUUAAAAGAAAAUAAAAUUUGUUUUGAAAGGUGUUUGAAACUAAACUAACAUAAAACUAAGUAAAAAUGGAAGAAAGAAAGUUUCCCGGAGUAGAGGUUGCUAGGAUCAAGUUCAAAAUGCAAAGUGGGAAAUUCCGGAUUUUUCUUCUACAACAGCAUAAAGGAUGGUUGUUUCCCGAACCGGUAUAGGUUUAACAAUGAAGAUUUAAUCCAUAAAAAGUCAAUAGAAAUGGUAGUCAAGUUCCAUUAAUGGCUUUAGACACUGUGGGUCUUCACCUUGAGCCACAUUCCAAUGGCUCGUACAUGAUAACUAAUGGACUGAUAUCGAUCUAGCAAUAAGCAUCCACAGAGACCUGAAGCUUACCAUGUAUUGGCCAUUCAAAGUGAUUCUAAGGGAUUUAAAGCAAAACUUUAGAUUUAAAAGCCAUUUAUGAACUCCAACUACCUGUAUUUAAUGCACGAGAGUUUUCCACUUUAGCAUUUGGACUUUUCACCUAGCUUCCUUUACUCCAAGAAACUAAAAGUUUAGCCUCUCAUCCUCUGGGAAAACAUAGUCAGAGGUUGUUUGGCUUCCAAGAAAAAGAAAAUAGUAGAGAGAAAAGGAAAACGAGAGAGCUCUGUAUUUCACUAAGUGUAAAAUGUAACAUCUUGUCGAGAAAUGAUUUCCACCCCUCUUAUAGUCUUUACAAAAGCAAAGCUUGUGAUUGGUUAGUUACAAGGAUAAAAAAGGAAAUUACAUAAAAAAAAUACAUAAGAAAAGAUCUAAAGUGGAGUCAGCAAAAACAGAGGAGAAUUCACACCACGCAUGGGCUGGUGCGAAUUUCGCACAAGCAGGGGUGUUGUGCGAAUUUCAAGGUGUUGUGCGAAUUUGGAGCAGUUGUCUUCCAAAGGCCAUAUCUUCCUCAUUUCAGCUCCAAAUCGUACACAGUUUGAAGCGUUGGAUUCUUAACUUCUUGAGCUUUGAAAUAGUAUAUAGCGUGUAGAAAAUGGACUUCGUAAAGUGCUCCAAAAGUGCGAAGGAAGAUUGUAGCUGUUGUCCUCUGUUUUCUUCACUUUGCUUGUUUUUCCUCUUUGCUUUUCUCCUUUACUUGGCUUGUCUUAAUGAUCCAAAAAGCUGUCAAAACACUAAAAAUAGCCACAAAUAUGAUUAGAAGUCAUUACUAGGUCCUUAACAUGCCAAUUGGAAUAAUGAUGAAGAACUACUACACAAAAGUGCUUAAAACAUAAUGAAUUAAAGGUGCAAAAUAACACUUUUUGGGUAGUAAUCAACUGCUAGUGCUGGUUUCAAGCGCUUUAGGCGCCCAUUCCGAGCACCAUUUAGCAACAUUCUGAGCAUCAUUCAGCCCUCAUUCCAAGCCUGUGAAUGAGGGAAUCGGGCUGCACUCCGGUGGAUGCAGCCCAUCCCAUUGGCUGCGACAUGCAUGGCGCUGUUGGGGAUGAAGCAGUCCACGGGUGGCAGAAAAUUAGGAAGAUGGGUUUGUGUGGAGAACCUAGAGAGAGAUUGGAUUUCCAAUGAAGCCCACUAACGAAAUUGGGCUCAUUAGUUAAAUGAAUGGGCAGUGACCCAUUUUACAAAAUUAAGGGCUUUGGGUAUUAAAAAAAUGGUAAUUGGGCUCAUUAGUUAAAUGCAUGGGCAGUGGCCCAUUUUACAAAAUCAAGGGCUUUGUGUAUUGGGCCAUGAAUUAAAUAAGAAAUUUAGGCCUAUUUAGGUUCUAAUGGCCCGGUCAUGAAUUACUUUUUAUUGGGUUUUGAAUUGAUUAAGUUUUAUAUGGAUUUAGGCACCCUUUCAUAAUCUAAAAUCCUUUAAAAUUAAUUCUGAAUUAUAUGUGAUCCUUUAUACAUGCAUAUUAAAUCAUUAAUUUUAAUGUUUGUAUGUAUAAAAUGUAGCUUAAUCUUGUGUUAUAUAUAUUAAAUGUUGUAGCUAUUGAUGCAUGCAAAUUUUAUCUAAAUUGUAUAAGAUAUAUUAAAAUAUAUAUAUCAUAUAUUCUUAAUGUCUAGUGAACCAUAUAAUUUUUUAAUAAUUAAGGAAUAGCCACAGCAACCUUAAUUAUAUAAAAAUAUAUAUUAAGUAAAUCUGGAUCACAUUAUGGACAUUAAUUGUAAUUAAUUAUAUGAAUAUGACGAUUUUACCCCAUAGGGAUUUCAUUAUAUUUAUAUAAUUAAUUAGGAUAAAAUAUUAAUAUUAAUUUUCCUAAUUUACCCACAGGAGUUGGGAAUAAUUAAUUUAAUAGGUUUAUCAUAAAGCUUAUAGAUAGAAAAAUAUCAAACCAUAUUCAUAAUAAAUUUCAUAAUUAAAUAAAAUAGUUUGAUAAAGUUUAUCAUAAAGAUAAAGAAUUUUAUUGAAUUAAAGAUUUAGCCCACAGACAAUUUUUAAUAAAAUUAGAUUCAAUUUUUUAGCAUGUUCUACAUUGGUAAAACAUGAAUUUAAAUUAAAGCCUCAGUUUUUAAUAAGUUUGUAAUAUUUUUUUAUGCAGUUUUACCUAGCAUAUUUGAUAUUCGUUGUGAGGUUCCCAAACUUAGGAGAGAUAACUUUAAGAUAUGGAAGGAGAGAAUUCUUCUUCAUUUAGGGUGCAUGGACAUAGAUUAUGCUAUAAGGAAAGAUGAACCACAUAAGAUCACUGAUACCAGCACACCUGAACAAAUUUUAUUGUACGAACGCUAGGAGAAAUCUAAUCGCCUUAGUGUGAUGUACAUUAAGACAAAAAUUAGUGCUGGCAUACGUGGUUCAAUCGAGCAACAUGAGAAUGUCCGUGAAUUGCUAAAGGCUAUUGACGAGCAAUUCGUCACUUCAGAUAAAGCCUUGGCAAGCACCCUAAUUAUGAAGUUCACAUCCUUGAAGCUCACCGGUAUAAGAGGUGUGCGUGAACAUAUCAUGGAGAUGAGGGACAUUGUGGCUCAAUUGAAGAAACUCGAGGUAGAAAUGUCUGAAUCUUUCUUGGUGCACUUUAUCCUUAACACUCUUCCACCUCAGUAUGGACCUUUCAAAAUCUCUUACAACACACAUAAGGAUAAGUGGUCUAUCAAUGAAUUGAUGACCAUGUGUGUUCAAUAGGAAGGAAGGUUAAUGAUGGAACAAGGAGAAAGUGCCAUGCUGGUGACGCAAAGGAAAUGAAAGAAAGGAAAAUCUCAAGCCAGUCAGAAAGGGAAGCAACAAAUUUCUCCUAAAUCUGACAUUAAGAAAGACGAAAAGUGUUUUUUCUGUAAAAAGAAAGGACACGUGAAGAAGAAAUGUCUGAAAUUUCAGAAUUGGCUUGAGAAGAAAGGUAACCCUACCUCAUUUGUUUGCUAUGAAUCUAAUAUGGUUAAUGUAAACACCAACACAUGGUGGAUUGAUUCUGGAUCUACAAUCCACAUUUCAAAUUCCUUGCAAGGUAUGCAAAACCUAAGGAAGCCAGUGAAAAAUGAGCAAUUCAUCUUAUCCGGAAACAAGAUGGGCUCGCAUGUGGAAGCAAUAGGGACAUGUUAUUUAACUUUAUAUGGUGGUUUUAUUUUGGAAUUGCAAAGGACCUUUUAUGUACCAAGUUUCUCACGAAACUUGAUUUCAGUUUCUAGACUUGUAUCGUUUGGAUAUUCCUUUCAUUUUUCAGAAACAUCUUUCAGUUUGAUUUAUAAAUUUGAUUGUGUUGGGAAUGGUAUCUUGCCUGAUGGUCUUUAUUGUAUAUUCUUACAAAAUGAUACCGCUCAUAAUUCAUUACAUGUCCAAACUGGCAUUAAGAGAUGUGUUGUAAAAGAUGAUUCCUCUACAUUGUGGCACCGGAGAUUAGGUCAUAUCUCCAUAGAUAGAAUCAAAAGAUUGGUGAAUGAUGGGGUACUUAGUACUCUAGAUUUUACUGACUUUGAGACUUGUGUGGACUGCAUUAAGGGUAAGCAGACCAAUAAGUCAAAGAGAGGUGCUACUAGGAGUUCCACCAUACUAGAGAUCAUACAUACUGAUAUAUGUAGUCUUGACAUGGACUCUCAUGGUCAGAAAUACUUCAUCUCUUUCAUAGAUGAUUUCUCACGAUACAUGUAUCUCUACAUACUUCAUAAUAAACAUGAAGCUUUAGAUACCUUUAAAGUCUUCAAGGCAGAAGUAGAGAAACAAUAUGGUAAACAAAUUAAGAUUAUGAGAUCAAAUAGAAGUGGAGAAUAUUAUGGUAGAUACUUGGAAGAUGGACAAUCACCUGGGCCAUUUGCGAAGUUUCUUCAAGAGCAUGGGAUUGUUGCCCAAUACACCAUGCCUAGUUCUCCAGACCAAAAUGGUGUAGCGGAAAGAAGAAACUGAACUUUAUUGGACAUGGUGAGGAGUAUGCUUAGUAGCUCAAAACUUCCUAAAUUCUUAUGGACUGAAGCACUUAAGACAGCUGUGUACAUAUUAAACCGAGUUCCAACCAAGGCUGUCCCAAAAACGCCAUUUAAGUUAUUGAAAGGUUGGAAAUCGAGUUUACGACAUAUGCGCGUUUGGGGAUGCUCGUUUGAAGUGAGAAUUUAUAAUCCACAAGAGAAGAAACUGGACCCAAGGACUAUUAGUGGGUAUUUCAUUGGAUAUGCUGAAAAGUCCAAGGGGUACAGAUUUUAUUGUCCAUCUCACAACACUAGGAUUGUGGAAUCAAGAAAUGCUAAAUUUCUUGAAUAUGACUUGGUCGGUGGGAGCGAUCAAUUUAGAAACAUAGUUUCUGAUAUUGAUCAUACAGAGUCUCAACCUUCCACUUCAAGCGAUAGAUUGUUUAUUGUUCAUAACACCCCUCAAGUACAAACGGGUGUUGAACGAACAAUUGAUGAAGUUCAACCAGUCAUUGAAGUUCCACAAGUUGUUGACAACAUUCCUAUAAACCAAGUUGAUCAGGAGUUGCCUAACACUUCUGAACAACAAGUUGAACCUCAUACUUCCUCGGAAGAUAUUGGUGCAACCUUAAGAAGGUCUGCUCGAACUAAGAGGUCAGCAAUUCCUAGUGAUUAUGUAGUGUAUCUAUAAGAAUUUGACUACAAUAUAGGAGCCGAAAAUGAUCCAGAAUCAUUUUCACAAGCCAUGAGUUGCAAAGAAUUAGAAUUGUGGUACAAUGCCAUGAAGGAUGAGAUGAGUUCCAUGAGGUGCAACGAUGUUUGGGACCUUGUUGAGUUGCCUAAUGGUGUAAAAACCAUUGGUUGUAAAUGGGUUUUUAAGACAAAGAAAGACUCAUCAGGCAACAUUGAGAGAUACAAGGCCAGACUUGUUGCAAAGGGGUUCACUCAAAAAGAAGGAAUCGAUUACACGGAAACCUUUUCUUCUGUAUCUAAAAAGGAUUCCUUGCGCAUUAUAUUGGCAUUAGUAGCCCACUUUGAUUUAGAAUUGCAACAAAUGGAUGUGAAAACAACAUUUCUUAAUGGAGAGCUAGAGGAGGAGGUUUACAUGAAACAACCUGAAGGAUUCCCCUCUAGUGAUGGUGAGCAAUUGGUUUGUAAGCUUAAGAAAUCCAUAUACGGUUUGAAACAAGCAUCCCGCCAAUGGUAUUUAAAAUUCCAUAACAUAAUUUCUUCAUUUGGUUUUGUUGAAAAUGUUAUGGAUCAAUGCAUAUACCUUAAGGUUAGUGGGAGUAAAGUUUGUUUUCUUGUUUUAUACGUGGAUGACAUCUUACUUGCAACCAAUGAUAAGGGUUUACUUCAUGAGGUGAAACAAUUCCUCUCUAAAAAUUUUGACAUGAAGGAUAUGGGUGAGGCAUCUUAUGUCAUUGCAUUAAGAUCCAUAGAGACAGAUUUAAAGGUAUCUUAGGUUUGUCUCAAGAAACCUAUAUCAAUAAAGUUUUAGAGAGAUUUCGGAUGAAGAAUUGUUCACCUAGUGUUUCCCCUAUAGUGAAGGGUGAUAAGUUCAAUCUGAACCAAUGCCCGAAAAAUGAUCUUGAGAGGGAAUAGAUGAAGAACAUUCCAUAUGCUUCUGCAGUCGGAAGUUUGAUGUAUGCUCAGGUCUGCACAAGGCCUGACAUUGCAUUUGCUGUUGGAACGUUAGGACAGAGUAACCCAGGUAUAGACCAUUGGAAAGCUGCAAAGAAAGUGAUAAGAUAUCUUCAAGGAACCAAAGAUUACGAGCUUAUGUACAGACGAACAAGCAAUUUAAAGGUAGUUGGCUACUCAGAUUCAGACAUUGCUAACUGUGUUGAUUCACGUAAAUCAACAUCUGGAUACAUUUUUAUAUUGGCCGGUGGAGCUAUAUCUUGGAAGAGCGUUAAGCAAACCAUGACUGCUACUUCUAUUAUGGAAGUUGAGUUCAUAUCUUGUUUUGAGGCUACUUCACAUGGUGUAUGGCUCAAGAGUUUCAUUUCUGGACUUAGAGUUAUGGAUUCAAUAUCUAGGCCAUUGAGUAUAUAUUGUGACAAUUCAGCUGCAGUCUUUAUGGCAAAGAACAAUAAAAGUGGAAGUCGAAGCAAGCACAUUGACAUUAAGUAUCUAGCCAUAAGAGAACGUGUUAAAGAAAAGAAAGUGGUCAUUGAGCACAUUAGCACUAAAUUGAUGAUUGUUGAUCCUUUGACUAAGGGCAUGCCACCGUUCAAAUUCAAGGAUCAUGUAAUGAACAUGGGACUUAGUUCCCUUAUGUAGUUUUUAUUGUACAAACUCUUAUUAUGAUGUUUUCUCAUAUUGAUGUGCACCUUUAUUUAAUUUUGAGAAAAUUCAACUUCAUUGGACCAAGAAUGAACAUAGGGUUUAUUCAUUAAGUAAUAUUAAUAUUGCCACAAAGUAAAAUGUUAAGAAAUGAAUGCAUUGUAAUACAUGGAAGAUAAUACUCGUUAUAUAGAGGACUUAUCGCCAUGAUUCAUGUAUUUGUUACUUAAUAUGGAUAAUUGAUGGAUUAAGAUAGGACAUUAAGUUAAAGGUGUGGACCAAGUGGGAGAAUGUUAUCACCACCCCAUGUCGUCUCCACGUUCACCACCAUGAAGGGGUGAUUUUGAAGUGGUCACACCCACGUCCUCCACCAUAAUCGCACUUUUUCCAUUGCGUUAAAGGAGGGUGUGGCAAAUCUGUAGAGACGUGGUAUGAUGGGAAGCCACGCAUAUAUAUUUCACAUAUGGUCCCGAACUCGUGAUCUACCGUUUUUCUUUCUUCAGUAAUAGACCAUCCAUAGGAGAUCAUCAGAGUUUGGAAACCGAUUACAGCAACUUGAAUCAAUGGCUGGAGGUAAGUAGACUAUGCCUAGUCUUUUACAGAUUCAGUUCAUCUUGCAAGUAUUAAUUUUGAAUUGAAUGUAUCAUAUGAAUUUCUCACAUAUACCACUUGACAUCUCCUGUGUCCAAAUCAAAUGCCAAGAUUGAAUCCGAGUGGUUUUCAGGCUCAACGAAUUGGUCAGGCUCAGUAGGGACAGUCUGGUUAUUUUCCAUUUCCUGGCACUCACGUACAUGCAAAGGAGCUGAAUAUAGGUUCCCAGUGGCAACAUACACAAGGUUCCUUAGACAUCAAUGGAAGGGCCGCUUCCCCUGAUACCUGCCCCCGCAUACUCUCCCAUUCCUCCACCAUUGUCAGGCAAUGUCAAGGUCUUCCACAAUAUGGCACCUGAUUUCGUGUCUAAUUUGCAGAGGCUACCCCGGAAUGUGCAGCAGUGCUCCUGGUCAGAGGCUUCUUCUAGUGAAGAUGUCCCAACAUAGAAAUCCCUAAAGAAAAAUAAUAAUGCAUAUUAGACUCAAUAGUGCUUUUUUCCUGAUAACAUUUCUCUAAACCUUAGCAAGAUAUACAUUGUUGGUCUAUUACUUAAACGGUAUUUUAAAAAUGGUAUCAGAGCAACAUCCUAAAGUUUUUGUAGUUCAACUAUUCAGCCCUAAAAUUUUCAUUUCAACUUGUACCAAUCAGUUCAGAAAAAUAUGUUCAUAUUUCAACCAGUUUCCUCAUUGUUAUCUUAAGCCUAAACUAUAAUUUGAUUAAUUGUUCCUUUCCUUUAUACAACAGGUCAUACAAGAAAUUGUGUUUCAAAGUCUAAUAAGCUGCUGAUAAACACUACCUGCUAUAUAUAUGAAAAGAUUAAUCUAACUUAAUCACAAAGUCAAUGGCUGAAUUUAUGUAUACCCAUUGCCCAAAUUGUAGUUUCUUAAUGUUGACCAACUGAUAUGACAUGAUCAAGGCUUAGUAUAUGGUAAACUUACCAGUUAUAAAAAGUUCCCGACACGGCAACAAGACUUGCAGGAUGAUUAUCCAGCCUAGUAGACCACCCCAGCAUCCCUGUUGCUCGUUCAACACCAAUGACAACACAAGGUCCAUAGAUUCCAAUAAUCAGCAGGUCACCCGCGAUGGUCGGAGUUGAUCUUGAAACAGUCCCGUUCAAAUUAGCAAGGACCCCAGUUGCAUUAAGGCCAGUUAACUCGUGCUAGUUCUUCUUCCAUACAAGAGAUCCAUCCGAUAUUAAUUUAAUAAGAGAACUUAAUAUAUUUUUAUUUGUCAGAUGCUGGGUAUCUUCAAUUUGCUGGGACAAAAACACUCAGCCCAGGAGUUAAUUUAUUUUGGGUUUGAGCCCCAACUGUGCCAGCCCUCAUGAUGUCUAGUUGGGCCCAUGAGAAGUGGACCUAUAAACUUGAUAUUUUUCAUAAUCUUGUCAGGGGGGACAAAAAGAACAUAUGAUAGAAAAUAAUCAAAAGAAUUAUUCAAUUAAGAAAUCUGAAAAGUUGAUGGGCAGAACAUUGGAUACUUACACUGAAAGAGGGAAAGUGAUGAGAGUGCAAUUGGGAUGUGUUUGGGUAUCUCAAGUUACAUUCAACACCCAGAAGCAUGUCACAUGAGCAAGUGGAUGCAAAGGCACAUGACUCUCAUGUUGCAACUGAUAAGUUACUCAAUUGUUCAUUGAAAAUAGAUAAAGUCACACCUUAGAAGUGGUGGGUUUCUUUUUUCCUUUCUUUUCUUUUUUCUUUCCCAUCCCCCCAUUUUUUUUCUUUUUGCUUAUUUGGCCCUCAUAACCGAAAAAUAAAAUGAGAGAAAACGAAGAUGAAAAUGAGAGACAUCAACUAAAAAGGAAGCUAAAAGGAAAAGUUAAACAUUGUUAUCUUGAUAUAAAACAACAUUACUUUAAUAUAUUAUUACAGAUCAUCCAAAAAAUUCCUCCCUUAAGACAAAGCAUAUAAUAGUUUUUUUAUUUAAAAAAAAAUAUCAUUAUUGGUCCCACUAUCAGAAAAUGCCUAGUGAAGAAUCUUGGCAGUCCAAGUGCACCUUGCUAAGUCUAGACAACUGGCUCAUGCUUUCAGAUUUCACCAUCUCCCUCCAUUUGGACUUUUGCAAUAAUUCCUCUGUUCAAUACUAAUCUCAAUUUUCUUCCUCUGACUAACUUUGAUAUACCUAUAUAUAACCCCCUUUGGCAUUCAGAAAGCUUCCAAGAAGAGGCUUUGGAUCUUAUUUUGAUGGCCAAUAUCUCUGUUUUUGUUUGCUUCAUCACACUUGUCUUUUGUUUUGCCACUGGUUCGGUGGCAAAAAAGGAAGAUGGUGGAAUAUAUGAGCUCAGGAAAGGAGAUUUCUCAGCGAAGUUCACCAAGUGGGGUGCAGCCAUUGUUUCAGUUGUUCUUCCUGACAAAAAUGGUCUGUUCAUUUUGGCUUCUUCACUUUCUGUUAUUCUGUUUGUUUGGGGUUUUUAAGAUUUUCUCAACAACUUUCUUUUCUUUUCCAGGGAAGUUGGCUGAUGUUGUUCUUGGGUAUGAUUCAACUAAGGAGUACAAGGUGUGAAAUUUUUUCUGUUUGCAAUGUUUUCUUCUUCUUCUUCUUCUUCUUCUUCUUCUUCUUCUUGCUAUCUCUCUGAGUGGAUUUGUGUGAUAAAGGGAGCUCUAGUUUCAGCAUUGGAUAAGGGGCAGUUUUGGCAUUUCAGAAGGGUAUUUGCUAAAAGUCUGACUGCCCCAUUUGAUGAAAUGUUAGGUUUAGUACAAAAGCUCCUUUACUUUCUCUGCAAUUUGUAAAAUUUUCCUUUCAGUUUGUGUUCGUGCCCUUUGAACUAGUUCUAUGAUAGAACAAGCUUUCAUAUUGAACAUUAUCUGUGGUGGAUCUUCAUAAGUUAGUCAUCCAUAGAUCAGUAUCUGUAAAUCUUCUAGAUUUUCAUUCAAAUUGUUUUAGGGUUUUGUUUGAAUCUGGGAAAAAGACUCCAUUCAAUGAAAUUUAGUAUAAGGGUAUCUUCACUGAUGUUUUACCUAGUUUAUAUACUGCCAUUAACCCAAAAAAAAAGGGAGGGCUUGAUAGCUUAAUAUUUUCCAUUUUGUCCCACACUCUAUGUCCACUUCUCCCAGUCAUAUUUUCUAUCGACUCUCACACAAGAAAACCAAGUCGAUGGCGUGGAAGAUUGUAGCAUGCUUAUCUGGUCCUUGUCUUUAUCUGGUGACACUCGAAAGUCUUCUUGUUGACUGAAAAUGUCUCACCUUCCCUUAAAGAAAUUUGCCAUUGACAGCAACAACUGAUCUGGACAUGUGGAAUAUGCUUAUAUGAAGCCGACCCCAAUCCUUUUUUUAUGCUUGACUCGAUUGUUGGAGUGCAAUAAUGCCUCUCUUCAACCCGAGAAUGGGUUGCCUAAAUGAUACUAAUAUCAAAUGCCAUAAAAGACUUGAUCUACCCUCAUUAGAUACCAUUUUGGAUGAAAUAGUCAAAGUCUGAUCCAAGCUUGACAUACAAGUCUUUUUUUGUCUUGGUUAGGAUGCUGCAUACUGUAGAAAAAUUCAUAGAUAAAUUCAAUGCCAAUUGGUAUCUCCCUGUUUUUUUAAUCCACUCAGUAGGGUACAUUUAUUGUAGGAGACACCGAAUGCACUUAUUUUAACAAAUUGCAAAUGGUUUUUGUUAACAUAUUGAAUAAAAUGGGGCUUAUAUUAAUAUUUUUUUCCCCUAGGCUCUUGACUGAGCCCUACGAUUUGUGCUUCUGUUCUUGAUAUUUUGACCAAAAUCAAUAGUGAUUAGUUCACUGAAGGCCGUUCUUCUUAUGCAUUCAUUUGUUUCAGAAUGAUACAACGAAUUUCGGUGCCAUUGUUGGACGAGUGGCUAAUAGGAUUGGAGGCGCACAAUUUACAUUGAACGGAACCCACUAUAAGCUAGUUGCUAAUGACGGGAAAAACAUGCUUCAUGGUACUUUGUUCUUAUUCUAACCUAACUGGCAAAAUUCUCCAAUCAGCCUGGCAAAAGAAUAAACAUUUUCCUUGAUUUAUUCCAGCUAUUUUGUUUUACUGAAUUUUGUUAUAUGGAUACUAGGCGGGCCUAAAGGAUUCGGUAAAGUUGCUUGGAGAGUGAGUAAAUAUGAGAAAGGCGGUCAUUCUCCUUACAUCAUGUUCAGCUAUCACAGCUUAGAUGGUGAAGAAGGUAAGUGCAUCUAUAUUAUGCUUGAAUAAAUAUUAUGAUAACGUGAGCUAUGAUAACCAAAUUGAAUAGCAUGUGUUGUGUUGGGCUUCUUAGAUAGAGAUGUUAUCUACACUGAAACUGUAUCCAAUUUUAUGCAGGAUUUCCUGGUGACCUCAUUGCCACCGUCACAUAUAUGCUUGUUGGUGAUUAUCAAUUGAUUGUAACCAUGAAAGCCAAAGCUCUAAACAAGGCCACCCCAGUAAACCUCGCUCAGCAUGCCUAUUGGAACCUGGGUGGUCACACCUCUGGCGAUAUCCUGUCCAACGAAAUCCAGAUCUUCGGUUCCCACAUCACUCCAGUUGAUAAAGAGCUCAUCCCCACAGGCAAAAUUGUCCCUGUGAAGGGAACACCAUAUGAUUUCCUCAAACCCUGCACCAUUGGAAGCA